GGGGGGCUAUAAUGCAAGUCGAGCGAACUGAUUAGAAGCUUGCUUCUAUGACGUUAGCGGCGGACGGGUGAGUAACACGUGGGCAACCUGCCUGUAAGACUGGGAUAACUUCGGGAAACCGAAGCUAAUACCGGAUAGGAUCUUCUCCUUCAUGGGAGAUGAUUGAAAGAUGGUUUCGGCUAUCACUUACAGAUGGGCCCGCGGUGCAUUAGCUAGUUGGUGAGGUAACGGCUCACCAAGGCAACGAUGCAUAGCCGACCUGAGAGGGUGAUCGGCCACACUGGGACUGAGACACGGCCCAGACUCCUACGGGAGGCAGCAGUAGGGAAUCUUCCGCAAUGGACGAAAGUCUGACGGAGCAACGCCGCGUGAGUGAUGAAGGCUUUCGGGUCGUAAAACUCUGUUGUUAGGGAAGAACAAGUACGAGAGUAACUGCUCGUACCUUGACGGUACCUAACCAGAAAGCCACGGCUAACUACGUGCCAGCAGCCGCGGUAAUACGUAGGUGGCAAGCGUUAUCCGGAAUUAUUGGGCGUAAAGCGCGCGCAGGCGGUUUCUUAAGUCUGAUGUGAAAGCCCACGGCUCAACCGUGGAGGGUCAUUGGAAACUGGGGAACUUGAGUGCAGAAGAGAAAAGCGGAAUUCCACGUGUAGCGGUGAAAUGCGUAGAGAUGUGGAGGAACACCAGUGGCGAAGGCGGCUUUUUGGUCUGUAACUGACGCUGAGGCGCGAAAGCGUGGGGAGCAAACAGGAUUAGAUACC
RNAcentral lists this ribosomal RNA (761 nucleotides) under Priestia megaterium. RNAcentral describes it as "bacterial SSU rRNA". It matches the Rfam family "Bacterial small subunit ribosomal RNA", at positions 41 to 786 of the family's 1533-position model. Lineage: Bacteria; Bacillati; Bacillota; Bacilli; Caryophanales; Bacillaceae. The record is from RNAcentral.